GCCAGGCGAGUGCGCUACUGCUUGAGCCACAUCCCCAGCCCUGAUUGUUUGUAUUCUUGAUGGCUGGUAUUCUGAAUGAAGUGAGAUGAACUUUCAGUGUAGUUUUGAUAUAUGUUUCCCUGAUUGCUAAAGAUGUUGAACUUUUUUUUUUAUAGAUUUCUUGGCCAUUCGUAUUUCUUCUUUCAAGAAGUAUUGUUCAGCUCACUUUUCCAUUUAUUAAUAGGGUUGUGGUUUUUUUGGUGUUAAGCUUUUUUGACUUCUCUUUAUAUUUUGGAUAUUGAUCCUCUGUCAGAACCACAGGUAAAAUAUUACUAAGUAGACAUACACCUCCCUCCAAGAAGGAAGCAGUCAGGCAAUUGUGGGGUAAGUUGAGAAUGUUAAGUGUUGAUCAUUGAGACCUGAAGGUCAUAUUUUAAAGUUUUCUACUUAAUUCCUCAAGUUAGUAGCAUUCUUGUAAUAUAGGGGAAACUAAAAUUCGAGAAGCAGAUAUAAUCAACAGUGACAAGACUGUGUGCAAUUAUUGCGCAAAAUUUGUAACUGACGUGGUCUGUGCUCUCCAGGAACUUGCUCGAACAGUAGGUCUGGAGACAAGAGUUGAACUGCCCACCCGUGGUAGGAUUAACAUAUCAUUUCCAGCCCUUUGUUAUUGAAUAUGAAUCAGGGACCUGUUAUGUGCUAGGCAUGUUCUUGUCACCAGGGGGAUACAGGAUUGCAUGAUGCAAAAAAAAUUUUCCCCUUGAGGAGCUUAAAUUCUCCAUAGAGAAGAGAAAAGUGGGGUGGGUAAGAGAGAGACCUGGUGGAGGGAACGAAAGAGUGAGUGAAUCUAAACAACAGUGAAUCAGGGUUAGGGAAUGUAAAGCAUGAUGCUGGUAAAGAGAAGCAUGUAAGAGCGUGGCCAGAAAAGGCUUCCCAGGGAGGUGGGCACUGGAGCUUGGCACCUGAAGUGGGUGAGAGUGGGCCAUGCAGGUGUCUGUGGAGAAGCAUGUUCUAGAGAGAGCAGCAUGAGCACAAGUGUGUCCAUAUCCUCCAGGAGCUGCUAGAAGGUGAUGGGACAGGAGUGGGAUGAGCAAGGGAGAAGGCAGCAUGGGGCCAGUCAUGUACCUCAUGUGCUGUUGGCACGACUGUUACUGUAAAUGAGAAGGAGUGCAAUUGGAGAGUUUCAAGCAAAGGAGUGGCGUUAUCUGACUUUGUCUCUCCAAGACCAGACUGGCUUUUCACUUUGAAAACAGUGUACAGUAAGGUAAGGGAAGAACCAGCUGGAAGGCUCUUUCAGUAUUCCAGAUGGAGAUAUGAGGGAAGUGCGAAUGGCAGAGU
RNAcentral lists this long non-coding RNA (1314 nucleotides) under Marmota monax (woodchuck). The record is from RNAcentral. Lineage: Eukaryota; Metazoa; Chordata; Mammalia; Rodentia; Sciuridae.